CUUGUACACACCGCCCGUCACGCCAUGGGAGUUGGUUUUACCUUAAGCCGGUGCGCUAACCGCAAGAAGCAGCCGUCCACGGUAGGGUCAGCGACUGGGGCGAAGUCGUAACAAGGUAACCGUAGGGGAACCUGCGGUUGGAUCACCUCCUUUCUAAGGAUAUUGAUGUUUGUUUAGGCAAACAUCCGGAUUGUUGUCUAUUUAUCUCUUUAUAAUAUUAGCUAAGUGCUAGGUGUUUCCUUAAUCAAACUGGGCCGGUAGCUCAGUUGGUUAGAGCGCGCGCUUGAUAAGCGUGAGGUCGGAAGUUCAAGUCUUCCUCGGCCCACCAUUUUUCAAGGGGGAUUAGCUCAGCUGGGAGAGCGCCUGAUUUGCAUUCAGGAGGUCAGCGGUUCGAUCCCGCUAUCCUCCACCAUAUCUUCUAAUAUUAUAUCUUAUUUGUUCUUUAAAUUUGUAAAUAUGAAACUAAUAACUGAUCAAAAUAAUUUUAUUAUUGAUUAAAAAAUACGUACAAAAUUUUUCUCUGUACGUAAUUGCAAUCAAGCGCAAAAGGGCAUUUAGUGGAUGUCUUGGCAUUAAGAGACGAAGAAGGACGUGGCAGGCUGCGAUAAGCUAAGGGGAGUUGUCGACAAACUUUGAUCCGUAGA
This 644-nucleotide unclassified non-coding RNA is filed under the name uncultured marine bacterium. RNAcentral describes it as "partial contains 16S ribosomal RNA, 16S-23S ribosomal RNA intergenic spacer, and 23S ribosomal RNA". The stretch from base 1 to 153 matches the Rfam family "Bacterial small subunit ribosomal RNA", at positions 1380 to 1533 of the family's 1533-position model. The record is from RNAcentral.